AGCCUGAACGCUGGCGGCGUGGCUAAGACAUGCAAGUCGUACGGGUGUAGCAAUACACCAGUGGCGGACGGGUGAGUAAUGUAUCGCUAACGUACCCCGGAUUCUGGGAUAGCUGCCCGAAAAGGGCAGGUAAUACCGGAUGAUAUAUCCUUUUCGCAUGAUGAGGAUCUCAAAGGGAAACCGUUCUGGGAGCGGGCGAUAUCGUAUCAGCUAGUUGGUGAGGUAACGGCUCACCAAGGCGACGACGCGUAGCCGGACUGAGAGGUUGGCCGGCCACAUUGGGACUGAGACACUGCCCAGACUCCUACGGGGGGCUGCAGUAACGAAUCUUCCGCAAUGCACGCAAGUGUGACGGAGCGACGCCGCGUGUGGGACGAAGUCCUUCGGAUGUAAACCACUGUCAGGGGUUAGAAAGUUCUGAUCAACCCAGAGGAAGGCACGGCUAACUCUGUGCCAGCAGCCGCGGUA
This 468-nucleotide ribosomal RNA is filed under the name uncultured bacterium. RNAcentral's name for it is "SSU rRNA". It matches the Rfam family "Bacterial small subunit ribosomal RNA", at positions 26 to 522 of the family's 1533-position model. The record is from RNAcentral.